GAUGAACGCUGGCGGCGUGCCUAACACAUGCAAGUCGAACGGAUAAGGCCUGCUUGUGUGUGGAUUUCGAGGGGCGCGGGGGUGUGAUACAUGUGAGUCACCCGCCUUUGACUGGGGGAUAACCGCAGGAAGGUGGGGAUAACACAGGAUAGGGGGUCGUGCUGGUGGGGGGGCGUUGGAAGGUUUCGGAGGGUGUGGUUGGACGCCCGGCUUAUUAGUUGGUGGGGGGGGUAGUGGCCUACCAAGGCAUUGACGGGUGGUCGGCGUGGGAGGUGGAACAGCCACAAUGGGACUGAGGUACGGCCCAGAGUCCUACAGGAGGCAGCAGUGGGGAAUCUGGCACAAUGGGCGGAAGCCUGAUGCAGCGACGCCGCGUGCGGGAUGAAGGCCUUCGGGGUGUAAACCGCUGUCAGCUGAUACGAUGCUGGAGUGACGGUAACAGCAGAAGAAGCACCGGCUAACUACGUG
RNAcentral lists this ribosomal RNA (468 nucleotides) under uncultured bacterium. RNAcentral's name for it is "partial 16S ribosomal RNA". It matches the Rfam family "Bacterial small subunit ribosomal RNA", at positions 28 to 507 of the family's 1533-position model. The record is from RNAcentral.